AAAUUGAAGAGUUUGAUCAUGGCUCAGAUUGAACGCUGGCGGCAGGCCUAACACAUGCAAGUCGAGCGGAAACGACACUAACAAUCCUUCGGGUGCGUUAAUGGGCGUCGAGCGGCGGACGGGUGAGUAAUGCCUAGGAAAUUGCCUUGAUGUGGGGGAUAACCAUUGGAAACGAUGGCUAAUACCGCAUAAUGCCUACGGGCCAAAGAGGGGGACCUUCGGGCCUCUCGCG
RNAcentral lists this ribosomal RNA (232 nucleotides) under Vibrio sp. 10N.286.48.B8. RNAcentral describes it as "partial 16S ribosomal RNA". It matches the Rfam family "Bacterial small subunit ribosomal RNA", at positions 1 to 219 of the family's 1533-position model. The record is from RNAcentral. Lineage: Bacteria; Pseudomonadati; Pseudomonadota; Gammaproteobacteria; Vibrionales; Vibrionaceae.